UUAAUUUUAAAAAUAUUCUUUAUGUUUGUUUACAUUAUUUUAUAUUGAUUUAUUUUAUUUUUAAAUAAGUAGAUUUUGAAAAUCUUGGUAAUUUUGAAUUAUGUGGGUAGCUUUUGGAUAUUCUAUACUACAGAAUGUGUAGCUUUAACUUUCUAAAUAUAUGUGUUUUAAGUUCCUACUGCUUUGAUUUUUCAAGUUUUUGUUCUUUUAAAAAAUACUAAUAAUUUUAUGUUUGAUGUUAACGUAGUAUAUAUGUCAAGUUAAUUCUUUUUAUUUUUUAGUUUACUUUGAUUAAUAUGUAAUUAUUUUUUAUUUUGAAUUAAUUUGUUUGUUGAAAAUAAUGAUAUUUUAGAAAAUA
RNAcentral lists this long non-coding RNA (358 nucleotides) under Brassica napus (rape). RNAcentral describes it as "long non-coding RNA (BNAP_LNC022446)". Lineage: Eukaryota; Viridiplantae; Streptophyta; Magnoliopsida; Brassicales; Brassicaceae. The record is from RNAcentral.